GCAAGCUCAGCCUCCAGGGUUCACGCUAUUCUCCUGCCUCAGCCUCCGGAGUAGCUGGGACUACAGGCGCUCACUACCUCGCCCGGCUAAUUUUUUGUAUUUUUACUAGAGACGAGGUUUCACCGUGUUAGCCAGGAUGGUCUCGAUCUCCUGACCUCGUGAUCCGCCCGUCUCGGCUUCCCAAAGUGUUGGGAUUACAGGCGUGAGCCAGCGCGCCCGGACGAAUAUUUGCUCUUCAACAAUUGCCUUGAAGCACAGAGAUGUGGCCAUCAGUGUGUUGAAUAGGAAUCCUUAUUAUAAGUGGUCAUUGUUCAAGUGAAGGAAAGAAAAAUAAGUCAUGCGAUAAAACUCUUCGGCUGUACAAAACCUAGAAAAUCUUGAAUGUCUUCUUAGAAAUACUUGAAGGUGUUUCUACUUGAAGACCAGAGAGAAAGUGAAGUGGUCUCAAAGUGAAUACAUCCAGAAAGCAGCAUCCAAUAUGGCUCUGCAAUUAAGUUUCUAUUCACUCAACUCAGUAAUUGGCUAAUUAUGUCAUGGUUAUUAUAUGUCUUGUGUUGUUCUUAGUCUAAAUUAGGUUCUGUUCAUUUUGGUUCAAUUUUUAUGAGUAGUUUUCUGGUUCUGGUUUUUCUUUUGUUUCAAUAUAUAGUACUUUCAGGCUAAACAGGCAAUACCUCAGUUUGAAAUGUUUAGGAUAAAUUUGUAACCUUCUAAGUCUUUAUGACUUUAAUUUCUCAAAAACGAAUCCACACAUACUAUUUUUUCUCAACAGAGUACAACAGGUAUGUUUAUGUAAACCCUAAUUUAUCUCAUUAACUGCACAGUUGUGUGUAGAGCUGACAUUUUCUGAUGUCUGAUUCUCAUGUAGAAAUAUCUUCGAUCUAAAUCCUUGCAUUAGUGUCAGGAAAAACUUUCUAGAACACGGUGUCUCUUAUGCUGAAUGUCACCAGAAGGCUCUCCUAUGAUGACUUCUCUUUGUAAGGCAAUCCAUUAGAUGUAUCUUUUACUCUGUUAUAAAUAAUGUCACCUUACCUGGGCUAUGCUCUCUACCAGAAUUGUGAGCACUCAUGUUGGUUCUAUUGACAGUUGUGAUAAAUUGUUAUUCAUCUGCAUGUGUUCUUACACAAUAAAAUUAUGAUUCAUAGAAAAAGUAUCUGAGAUUGCUAGCUGGGGAUAAAUUAACAAUUAAAGGCCAAAGAAUUGAACAAGGAACUGCCAUAGCAAGGCUUCAGAAUGAAAACAAAGGCGUUAAUAUCCGCUUUGCCAAGUAAUUAUAAUUACAUCUUCAAAUGUGUUUUUUUCUCAAACACUAGAAUGAGUAAGUUGUUACUGUAUGAUAUAUAUAGAGAGAUAGAUAGAUAGAUAAAGUGUUUUUUAAAUAGUUUUUUGCAUUAAUCGAAUGUUUACUCUGUACCAGAUUCUAUCCAUGUGAUGUAUGUAUCUGUUAGAUAAUCUAAUCUUCACUUUUAUCCUGUGAAUUUGAUACUAUUACUAUCUCUACUUAAUGGUUAAAAAUUCUGAGGAGCAGCCUGAGAUCUCAUAGCCAGCGAGUACUGGAGUUAAGUUCCAAAUCCAUAUAUCAGUAUUCCAGGCUGCAAAACAGAAUUUAGCAAAGAAAGUUCGUAUAUAUUAAGGGACUUUUAUCUAUAAAGCAUUUUAAUAAUUCUUCACAUGCAGCAUGACUAAUAAAAGUUGAUGGCUUUUCUUAACAAAAAUUCCUAAGAAAGAUGAGAACAGAAACUUCCUGGUUAACUAAUCCCAAAACAGUUUAUGAAACCAUAGUAACAGAAUAAUAGAUUAGCUGAGCACUAUAAUUGGGCAGGGAGGGGGAGAUUUGCACAUUUAAAAUGUAAUUUAGGGAAGCACGCAGAAUUUAUAGUAUUAAAUGAACAGUAAUAUUUCAAUGUUAAAUAUUUUAAGACCUUUAAUUUAUAUUCAAUUCAAAAGAAGAAAUUCGUUUCAAGACUAAUUUCACUAGCAAAGUAGUAGCUCCUUUUUCAUUAUUAAACAAGUAAUAAUAACACGGCACUUGAGUCUUUUAUUCACUUAACAAAUAUUUAUUGAUUCCUACUAUAUGUCAGUCACUCUUCAAAAUCAUUUUAUUUUGACUGCGAACAGGAUAGAAAAUAUUCCUGCACCAGUGGAUUUUCAGAUUACCUAGGACGCAGUUAAAAAAAAUAGGAGAGGGAAUUUUCAAUGAGGAUGCUAUAGUAAAUGCUAAGUUGUAUUAGGCAUUUAUUAUGUGACAGACAUUUUUCUAUAUUUUUUACAUCUAUUACUCUAGUUGGAUUUCACAAUUACACUGUCAUGUAAGAAAUAUUUUCAUUCAUAUUUUUCAGAUGAGGAAACUGAGGCAUAAACAUCUCAUAGUGGGGUUCAAGGCAGGCUAUUUUUUUUAAUUAAUAGACUUCAUUUGCUUAGAUUUAGUUUCACAGAAAAUUGACCAUAUAGAACAAAUAGUUCCUACAUACUCGCUCUCUUUUUUAUUCACUAUUUCCCCUAUUAUUAACAUCUUGCAUUAGUGUGACCCAUUUGACAUAAUUGAAACAGUAUUAAGAUAUUAUUAUUAGCUACAGAAUAUUAACUAAAGUUCACCAUACGUUACUUUUGAGAUCAGUCUUUGCAUUUUACAGUUUUGUGUGUUUUGACAAAUGUAUUAUACAAGGUCAUAUAUCUACUAUUAAAAUAUUAUAAAAUAAUUUUGCUACCCUAAAUAUUCCCUGUGCUCCAUCUAUUCAUUUCUCCUCCCUUCCAUCUUGAAACCACUGAUCUUUCUGCUUCCUCUAUAAUUUUGCCUUUUCCUUUUCCAGAAUGUUAUAAGGGUGGAAUCAUAUAGUGUGCAGCCUUGAAAGAGUGGCUUCUUCCACCAAAUAAUGUGCAUUUAAGGUUCCUUCAUGUCUUUACAUGGCUUGAUAGCUCACUUUUUAUCCCUGAAUAAUAACUCAUUAUACAGAUGUAUCACCAUUUGUUUACCCAUUCAUCUGUUGAAGGGCAUGUUGAUUGCUUCCAGCUUUUGUCAAUUAUGGAUAGGCUGCUAUAAACAUUCAUGUGUAGGCUUUUACCAACACAUUUGGACAAACUCCAAGGAGCACAAUUGCUGGAUUAUGUAAGUAGACUAUGUUUCAUUACGUAAGAAGCUUUCAACCUGUCUUGUAAAGUGGUUCUAUCAUUUUGCAUUCCCACUAGCAAUAAAGGAGAGUUGUUCUACAUUUUUGGAACAUUUGGUGUUGUCAUAUUGGGCAAGGGGUAUUUUAGCUAUUCUAAAAGGGAUCUCAUAAGUUUAAUUUGCAAUAUCCUAAUAAAAUAUGAUGUUGAACAUCUUUUCAUACGAUUAUUUGCUAUUUGUAUAUUGUCUUUGAUGACGUGCCUACUCAGACAUUUUCCCCACUGUUUAAAUGGAUUUUUUGUUUUCCAAUUUGUUUCAUGUGGAC
Molecule: long non-coding RNA, 3428 nt
Filed under: Homo sapiens (human)
Lineage: Eukaryota; Metazoa; Chordata; Mammalia; Primates; Hominidae
Description: HSALNT0070854
Source: RNAcentral